Molecule: long non-coding RNA, 1374 nt
Filed under: Triticum aestivum (bread wheat)
Lineage: Eukaryota; Viridiplantae; Streptophyta; Magnoliopsida; Poales; Poaceae
Description: long non-coding RNA (TAES_LNC006395)
Source: RNAcentral
UUCGGUACCACAAUGCGAAUAACGGUCAUACAAAGGCUAUUUGACAAACACAGCAAAAGGCAAGCACAAUUAAUCCACGGAAAAUCAAGCAGAUUGUAAACUGGGAAGAUAUAAAAUCAAGCAGCUAUCUUGAUUCUUGACACGUGCGGAGACACAUGGAGAAAACAAUUCUCUGAAAAAUAGACACCGAAAGAAAACAGCACACUUGUACUACUACUUAUCCACCCCUUCCUAUUUAAACUUGCACAUUAGCAUCCAUCAUCUGCCGUGCAACACCCACGAUGGUUGAAAGGGUUUGGUAAUUAGCCAUGUCCCUUGCACUGCCGGUAAGGAGCAUACCUAGUUCCAGGUCUCUCAUAUCCUCCAAGGCACCUUGCAAUUUUGUGCUAGUGUUCUUGUUCUGGAAUACUCUGAUGCAGUCUGGCUUGCGUUGCAUCAUCCAUGUACAUAACUUUGUCACUGUCUUGAUUAUUAUCAGAUACUCAAGUGAGGGACCCUUCCCUUCCAAGCUAUCAAAAGAGUGGCCCUUGCACUGUUCUAUUAUAUGAUUCAGUUUAUCCAUAAAGUCAUCCAUGGAAAGAGGAACGAGCGCAAGUGCAUUAUCAAAAUCAUCUGGACUGAUCUCCAGUUUGUCACAUAUCUCCAAUGUAAGGCCUAAGAAGGCUGCCAGGGAUUUUCUUUUAGCACCUUCGAGCUGAGCAACAGCCGGCAAAUUGUCACUAGGAUUGUUUCUGUUAGCAGCGUGAGAGUGGUGAGCCCCGAGAAAACUGUUCAAGCGAUAAAGUGCCCGAGAAAAUGGGGGGCGGCCCCGGUUGUGCUGUGGAGAACCCGUCUGAUUUGCAUUUGCUGCUUGUUGCUGCCCAAGGUUGUGCUGUGGAGAACCCACCUGAUUUGCGUUCGCUGCUUGUUGCUGGCCUGGGUUAUGUUGGGGAGAACCCGCCUGAUUUGCGUUUGCUGCUUGUUGCUGGCCUGAGUUGUGCUGUGGAGAACCCACCUGAUUUGCAUUAUUUGCUGCUUGUUGCUGGCCCGGGUUAUGCUGGGGAGAACCCACCUGAUUUGCAUUUGCAUUUGCUGCUUGUUGCUGGACCAGGUUAUGCUGGGGAGAACCCGCCUGAUUUGUGUAUGCUGCUUGUUGCUGGCCUAAGUUGUGCUGUGGAGAACCCACCUGAUUUGCAUUUUCUCCUUGCAUAUAACUUUGAGCACCUGCCAUGCCAAAAAACAAUUUAGUAAAGAACAAAACCUCUUAUUCGAAGAACAAGGGUGCAUGUGCGAUAUUUCGACAGCAAUGUUACAUCAAGUAAAAAGAAAAAUGGUGGUGCAUAUUCUACUCAUGAUGUGUACUACUCCCUCCGUUCGGUAUUACUUGUCGCAGAA